RNAcentral lists this long non-coding RNA (222 nucleotides) under Mytilus galloprovincialis (Mediterranean mussel). The record is from RNAcentral. Lineage: Eukaryota; Metazoa; Mollusca; Bivalvia; Mytilida; Mytilidae.
GUGAAGAAAAAAUCUUAUAGUGGUGCACUUCUUUUUUUGCUACGGCCCUUUGAAAAUGCCCAAUUUCAAUGAUUUUCCCAUUUUUCAUUGAUUUUUACCUAUUUUUGGGCUAUUAUCGUGAAAAAAAUCACAGUUCCACAAUUAAACUUUUUUUCAUACUUUCUAUAAAGAUGAAGUGGACCAAUCUGAAUAAAUUUUACUUAGAAAAACAAUAGGUAGGUG